CAAAGGUUUGGUCCUAGCCUUCCUAUUAAUUCUUAGUAGACUUACACAUGCAAGCCUCCACGCUCCAGUGAGAAUGCCCUUAAAAUCAUUAAUGAUCCAAAGGAGCAGGUAUCAAGCACACUUUUAAGUAGCUCAUAACACCUUGCUAAGCCACACCCCCACGGGAUACAGCAGUGAUAAAAAUUAAGCCAUAAACGAAAGUUUGACUAAGCCAUACUAAAUAAGGGUUGGUAAAUUUCGUGCCAGCCACCGCGGUCAUACGAUUAACCCAAAUUAAUAGGCCCACGGCGUAAAGCGUGUUUAAGAUAUCUCUACACUAAAGUUAAAAACUAACUAAGCCGUAAAAAGCUACAGUUAUCAUAAAAUAAACCACGAAAGUGACUUUAUAAUUAUCUGACCACACGAUAGCUAAGACCCAAACUGGGAUUAGAUACCCCACUAUGCUUAGCCCUAAACAUAAAUGAUUUUUUCAACAAAAUAAUUCGCCAGAGAACUACUAGCAGCAGCUUAAAACUCAAAGGACUUGGCGGUGCUUUAUACCCCUCUAGAGGAGCCUGUUCUAUAAUCGAUAAACCCCGAUAAACCUCACCACCUUUUGCUAAUCCAGUCUAUAUACCGCCAUCUUCAGCAAACCCUUAAAAGGCAGAAUAGAAAGCACAAUCAUUUUAUAUAAAAAAGUUAGGUCAAGGUGUAACUUAUAAGGUGGAAAGAAAUGGGCUACAUUUUCUACCCUAAGAACAUUUUACGAAUGUUUUUAUGAAAUUAAAAACUGAAGGAGGAUUUAGUAGUAAAUUAAGAAUAGAGAGCUUAAUUGAAUAGGGCCAUGAAGCGCGCACACACCGCCCGUCACCCUCCUCAAGUAAUAAAACAUAACCAUAACUAUAUUAACUGAAUAAAAACACAAGAGGAGACAAGUCGUAACAAGGUAAGCAUACCGGAAGGUGUGCUUGGAUUAAU
RNAcentral lists this non-coding RNA (957 nucleotides) under Chrysocyon brachyurus (maned wolf). RNAcentral describes it as "12S ribosomal RNA". It matches the Rfam family "Bacterial small subunit ribosomal RNA". Lineage: Eukaryota; Metazoa; Chordata; Mammalia; Carnivora; Canidae. The record is from RNAcentral.